AACGAACGCUGGCGGCAUGCCUAACACAUGCAAGUCGAACGUGAUCCGGGACUUCGGUUUCGGUGAAAGUGGCGGACGGGUGAGUAACGCGUGGGAACCUGCCCAGUGGUAGGGGAUAACCGCGGGAAACUGCGGCUAAUACCCUAUGUGCCCUGCGGGGCAAAGAUUCAUCGCCAUUGGAGGGGCCCGCGUCGGAUUAGGUAGUUGGUGGGGUAACGGCCUACCAAGCCUUCGAUCCGUAGCUGGUCUGAGAGGAUGAUCAGCCACACUGGGACUGAGACACGGCCCAGACUCCUACGGGAGGCAGCAGUGGGGAGUAUUGGACAAUGGGGGCAACCCUGAUCCAGCAAUGCCGCGUGAGUGA
Molecule: ribosomal RNA, 364 nt
Filed under: uncultured bacterium
Lineage: Bacteria
Description: bacterial SSU rRNA
Rfam family: Bacterial small subunit ribosomal RNA
Source: RNAcentral